This 253-nucleotide ribosomal RNA is filed under the name uncultured bacterium. Its description in RNAcentral is "partial 16S ribosomal RNA". It matches the Rfam family "Bacterial small subunit ribosomal RNA", at positions 524 to 776 of the family's 1533-position model. The record is from RNAcentral.
UACAGAGGGUGCAAGCGUUGUUCGGAAUUACUGGGCGUAAAGCGCGUGUAGGCGGUCUAGCAAGUCGGGUGUGAAAUCCCUUGGCUUAACCAAGGAACUGCAUUCGAAACUACUAAACUAGAGUAUCGGAGGGGGUGGCGGAAUUCCCGGUGUAGAGGUGAAAUUCGUAGAUAUCGGGAGGAACACCUGUGGCGAAGGCGGCCACCUGGAAGAUUACUGACGCUGAGACGCGAAAGCGUGGGGAGCAAACAGG